Equus caballus (horse) is the source of this 1872-nucleotide non-coding RNA. The record is from RefSeq and is a predicted model, not a curated record. NCBI's taxonomy places the organism in Eukaryota, Metazoa, Chordata, Mammalia, Perissodactyla, Equidae.
CAGCCUGAAGCCACGGUCGACAGCUGCAAACGUUACCAUGAGCACAAAAGCAAAACAAGGUUUAAAAAAGUGAUACAUUGCCAGGCAUUUUGGCAAGAUUUCCUUGGAUCCAGACUGUGUUUUGCACUGUUUCAGUUGAAAAGAAGAGCAGCGCUCCUGCCCGCCACAUGUGAUGGAAUUUGGAGAUUAAAUAAAUAAUGGCAUUAAUGAUCUAAAGGGUUUACUGAGUGCAUCGCAAUAUUUGCCUUAUUACCGCAGAUUUGUUUGUUUGUUUAGCUGUUUAUUUUAAUUGUGUCUUUUCCUUUUUUUAAGUGUCAGCAGUUCACGUUUUGGCACCAGAUGGAGGCUUUCUUUUGGUGAAAUGCCACCGUGUCAUUCAGCCGAGCUUUGAGCCUUUGAAUGUUCGCGCAGCAUGGCCUGAUGCUGGAUGUGUAGGUCCACGACCGGGAUCGGACCCCGUGAACCCCAGGCCACGAAAAUGGAGCGCAAAGUCAACCACUACACCAUCAGGCCUGCCCCUCAAAAAGUUUUAAAGAACGUUGAGCUUUAAAAUGUUUCGAAGCCCCGAGGCUGGGAUUUUUAGGGAGCAGAUCCAGAGAGCUGGACUGCCUCCUCUGCAGUCUGGACCGUCUGCGUCUUUACAGAGCACCUCCCACCGUGAAGCACAAGGCCCCUCCCUGCUCACUGGAAUGAAAUGAUCGUCCUAAGAGGUCAACUUGCUUAAUUAUAUUUAAUUCCCCCAACUUUCUCCUGUGGCAGGAGGUAAAAUGCCACUGGAUAUGGCUUUUCUCUUGAAAGUACGUGGAAGAGCUGUGUUGGAGGGUCAGAAUAAGUGGUGUGUCUAUCCCUAGUUAGAGGAGGUCGCCUUUCAGUUGUGGUGGACUGAGGCCAUCGGCCACCAGAACAAGCCAUCUCUUGCUUUACUGUAGAACCAGCUGUAACAUCUAGAACGUGUUGCUCCUCUUUUCCUAAGGACUCAGAAUAUACCCACGAAGUUACUUCAAAUAGAGUCUAUUGUAAUCGUCAAAUAAGCCGAAUGUCGCUAAAUAUACCCGCUGUUAUUUUAGUCUUUAUUUGUAUAUGAUGAUUUAAUUUUCAUUGACUUGGAUGUGCUGUAGUGUAAAGCGCUCUGACUUCCCACCGCGGGUGGAGAGGGAACGACGAUGCUGAAGCGCACAGAGCCGUCACCGGGGGCGGGUUGACUCGAAGCAUGCAGGCAGACAUACGGGCCUCAUGUGUGCCCACCAUCCAAGGGAGAGGAGAAGCCGAGAGAGGAAGCCUGCACUGGAAGAAGGAAAGAGACAACGAGACAGAGAGAGGCCCACGCAGUCUGUGUGGAGAAAGGAGAUUUGAUCAGAGAAAUCACAAAGCAGGAUCCAGACGCCCUGACAGCUACUGGGCAGUUACUGAGACUCAUUCUUAUCAACUGAGGUGGAGCACAAAAUUAAGCAAUACUAAGGCGAGGCCAAUUCUAGGAUAGAUAUAUGAAAUGACAGAAAACUAUUUGUUUUACCUUUUUUUCCUCCCUGUGUGUGAUGCAUUUAUUUAUAUUUGAAAUGGAACGCAGUAAUUUAUCUUAUCUUUAUUCUACACCUGAAGUCAUCCUCUUCCUCCUCAAAUUAGCAUCUCCUCCUGAAUUUUCUCUCUCAUUUGGGGCUCCUUUGGAGCGAGGCCCUCCAACUUGAACCCCUGAAAAUCUAAGAUAGCUACGAUCCUGCUCACUCCGUAACAAGGCUCCCUAAUUGUUUUUUCGUGAAGAAACAACACUGAUGUUCCAGUCAAGACAUAACAUUGCCCCGGGAAGCAAUUAUUAUUAUUUUUUUAAUAUCAGCUUUAUUAAGAUAUAUAUAUAGGGGCCGGCCCCAUGGCCGA